UGUCGAUGAAGAGCGCAGCAAACUGUGGGAAUUCAUGUGAACUGCAUGCUCAUUUGAACAUUGACAUCUUGAACGCACAUUGCGGCCACGGGUAAGCCCGUGGCCACGUCUGUCCGAGGGUCG
RNAcentral lists this ribosomal RNA (123 nucleotides) under Hamacreadium sp. 1 SM-2019. RNAcentral describes it as "partial 5.8S ribosomal RNA". It matches the Rfam family "5.8S ribosomal RNA", at positions 33 to 154 of the family's 154-position model. From Rfam's summary of the family: 5.8S ribosomal RNA (5.8S rRNA) is a component of the large subunit of the eukaryotic ribosome. It is transcribed by RNA polymerase I as part of the 45S precursor that also contains 18S and 28S rRNA. Functionally, it is thought that 5.8S rRNA may be involved in ribosome translocation. The record is from RNAcentral. RNAcentral also lists the same sequence under 1 other name. Lineage: Eukaryota; Metazoa; Platyhelminthes; Trematoda; Plagiorchiida; Opecoelidae.